RNAcentral lists this ribosomal RNA (780 nucleotides) under uncultured Actinomycetes bacterium. RNAcentral's name for it is "bacterial SSU rRNA". It matches the Rfam family "Bacterial small subunit ribosomal RNA", at positions 46 to 834 of the family's 1533-position model. Lineage: Bacteria; Bacillati; Actinomycetota; Actinomycetes. The record is from RNAcentral.
GCUCAACACUAGCAAGUUCGAACGUAGUAUCCAGCUUGCUGGGGGGAUAGUGGCGAACGGGUGAGUAACACGUGAGUAACCUGCCCUUAACUCUGGGAUAAGCCUGGGAAACUGGGUCUAAUACCGGAUAUGACCUUCCAUCGCAUGGUGGUUGGUGGAAAGCUUUUUGUGGUUUUGGAUGGACUCGCGGCCUAUCAGCUUGUUGGUGAGGUAAUGGCUUACCAAGGCGACGACGGGUAGCCGGCCUGAGAGGGUGACCGGCCACACUGGGACUGAGACACGGCCCAGACUCCUACGGGAGGCAGCAGUGGGGAAUAUUGCACAAUGGGCGCAAGCCUGAUGCAGCGACGCCGCGUGAGGGAUGACGGCCUUCGGGUUGUAAACCUCUUUCAGUAGGGAAGAAGCGAAAGUGACGGUACCUGCAGAAGAAGCGCCGGCUAACUACGUGCCAGCAGCCGCGGUAAUACGUAGGGCGCAAGCGUUAUCCGGAAUUAUUGGGCGUAAAGAGCUCGUAGGCGGUUUGUCGCGUCUGCCGUGAAAGUCCGGGGCUCAACUCCGGAUCUGCGGUGGGUACGGGCAGACUAGAGUGAUGUAGGGGAGACUGGAAUUCCUGGUGUAGCGGUGAAAUGCGCAGAUAUCAGGAGGAACACCGAUGGCGAAGGCAGGUCUCUGGGCAUUAACUGACGCUGAGGAGCGAAAGCAUGGGGGAGCGAACAGGGAUUAGAUACCCUGGUAGUCCCAUGCCCGUAAAACGUUGGGCACUAGGUGUGGGGGGGACAU